Molecule: ribosomal RNA, 341 nt
Filed under: uncultured Anaerolineaceae bacterium
Lineage: Bacteria; Bacillati; Chloroflexota; Anaerolineae; Anaerolineales; Anaerolineaceae
Description: bacterial SSU rRNA
Rfam family: Bacterial small subunit ribosomal RNA
Source: RNAcentral
CUUGUACAGGUGCUGCAUGGCUGUCGCCAGCUCGUGUCGUGAGAUGUUCGGUUAAGUCCGCUAACGAGCGCAACCCUCGCUGUGUGUUACAAGUGUCACACGGAACUGCCGGUCAUAAACCGGGAGGAAGGUGGGAUGACGUCAAGUCAGCAUGGCCUUUAUAUCCUGGGCUACACACACGCUACAAUGGGAAGGGACAAUAGGUUGCGAAGCCGCGAGGCGGAGCCAAUCCAGCAAAACUUCCCUCAGUUCAGAUUGCAGGCUGCAACUCGCCUGCAUGAAGUUGGAGUUGCUAGUAAACGCAGGUCAGCCAUACUGCGUUGAAUACGUUCCCGGGGCUU